Molecule: ribosomal RNA, 504 nt
Filed under: uncultured bacterium
Lineage: Bacteria
Description: bacterial SSU rRNA
Rfam family: Bacterial small subunit ribosomal RNA
Source: RNAcentral
UGCCGCGUGCAGGAAGACUGCCCUAUGGGUUGUAAACUGCUUUUAUACAGGAAGAAUAAGCCUUACGUGUAAGGUGAUGACGGUACUGUAAGAAUAAGGACCGGCUAACUCCGUGCCAGCAGCCGCGGUAAUACGGAGGGUCCGAGCGUUAUCCGGAAUUAUUGGGUUUAAAGGGUCCGUAGGCGGAUGAUUAAGUCAGGGGUGAAAGUUUGCAGCUCAACUGUAAAAUUGCCUUUGAUACUGGUUAUCUUGAGUUGUAUUGAAGUAGGCGGAAUAUGUAGUGUAGCGGUGAAAUGCAUAGAUAUUACAUAGAACACCAAUUGCGAAGGCAGCUUACUAAGUACUAACUGACGCUGAUGGACGAAAGCGUGGGUAGCGAACAGGAUUAGAUACCCUGGUAGUCCACGCCGUAAACGAUGGAUACUAGCUGUUCGGGACCUUGAGUUCUGAGCGGCUAAGCGAAAGUGAUAAGUAUCCCACCUGGGGAGUACGUUCGCAAGAAUG